UACAGAGGUCUCAACCGUUGUUCGGAUUCAUUGGGCGUAAAGGGUGCGUAGGCGGUCGCGUAAGUCAGGUGUGAAAUCUCAGGGCUCAACCCUGAAACUGCACUUGAUACUGCGUGGCUCGGGUACUGGAGAGGAGACUGGAAUUUACGGUGUAGCGGUGAAAUGCGUAGAUAUCGUAAGGAAGACCAGUGGCGAAGGCGGGUCUCUGGACAGUUCCUGACGCUGAGGCACGAAGGUCAGGGGAGCAAACGGG
RNAcentral lists this ribosomal RNA (253 nucleotides) under uncultured bacterium. RNAcentral describes it as "partial 16S ribosomal RNA". It matches the Rfam family "Bacterial small subunit ribosomal RNA", at positions 524 to 776 of the family's 1533-position model. The record is from RNAcentral.